AAAAACUAUGACCCCUCCCCUACAAAAUAAAGAUGAUCGGUGCAUUGGUAUUCCCAUUUUCUGCUGCAGCAAUUUGUAUGUUUAUAAAGGGCAUAAUUCAUGAACGAUAUAUUUGAUAACAAUUAAUUUCAAACUUGAUCUGUAAGUUGUGGUAAUAAACAUUGCGUAUAACUUUCAUAACAUUUGGUUGAGGCAAACUAAAUUUAGAGAACGGAAACCAAUUUGGGG
RNAcentral lists this long non-coding RNA (228 nucleotides) under Mytilus galloprovincialis (Mediterranean mussel). Lineage: Eukaryota; Metazoa; Mollusca; Bivalvia; Mytilida; Mytilidae. The record is from RNAcentral.